Molecule: ribosomal RNA, 393 nt
Filed under: uncultured bacterium
Lineage: Bacteria
Description: bacterial SSU rRNA
Rfam family: Bacterial small subunit ribosomal RNA
Source: RNAcentral
AGACUGCGUUUGAAACUGUAUAUCUUGAGAGCAGCAGAGGAAGGCGGAAUCCUGGUGUAGUGGUGAAAUACGUAGAUAUCAGGAAGAACACCAGUGGCGAAGGCGGUCUUCUGGGCUGCAUCUGACGCUCAUGUACGAAAGCUGGGGUAGCGAACGGGAUUAGAUACCCCGGUAGUCCCAGCUGUAAACGAUGGACACUAGGUGUUGGAGGUUCGAAUCCUUCAGUGCCGGAGUUAACGCAUUAAGUGUCCCGCCUGGGGAAUACGGUCGCAAGACUGAAACUCAAAGGAAUUGACGGGGGCCCGCACAAGCGGUGGAGCAUGUGGUUUAAUUCGAUGCAACGCGAAGAACCUUACCGAGAAUUGACAUCCCGUGACUACCUGUGAGAGCAGG